Non-coding RNA from Pelobates cultripes (western spadefoot toad), 307 nucleotides. NCBI's taxonomy places the organism in Eukaryota, Metazoa, Chordata, Amphibia, Anura, Pelobatidae. The record is from the annotation of a GenBank genome assembly.
GCACAGUUGGAUUUCGGCUGAUGCUGUCCAUGCUCCCCGUCUUGUGCGCUCUUUCCAUUCUCGUUUUCCUGCCAGGCCUGGUCCUACCCGCCCGGGGGGCGUGUCCUCAGGGGGGGGUACUGUAGCGUUACUUACCUUAACCGGGGGCCGGUCGCGGUCCUCUCUUCAAGCCGCGCGCGGUCCUGCGGCUGCACGAGCCGCGCGCGGCUCAUCCGACUGCUUCUGCGGUCACGUGUCCCGCCUGAAACUAAGAGCGCGCCGCGAGUCUCGGGCGCGCUCUUAAAGAGACAGUGGGAGCCUAAUUGCC